GAUCCAGACUCCUACGGGAGGCAGCAGUGAGGAAUAUUGGUCAAUGGGCGGGAGCCUGAACCAGCCAAGUCGCGUGAGGGAUGACGGCCCUAUGGGUUGUAAACCUCUUUUGCCGGGGAGCAAAGUGCCGCACGUGUGCGGUUUGGAGAGUACCCGGAGAAAAAGCAUCGGCUAACUCCGUGCCAGCAGCCGCGGUAAUACGUAGGUGGCAAGCGUUGUUCGGAAUAACUGGGCGUAAAGGAUGCGUAGGCGGUUAAACAAGUUAUAUGUUAAAUAUAUAGGCUUAACCUGUAGAAAGCAUAUAAAACUGUUUAACUAGAGUGCAGGAGAGGUAAGUGGAAUUCCUAGUGUAGCGGUGAAAUGCGUAGAGAUUAGGAAGAACACCAGUGGCGAAGGCGACUUACUGGACUGUAACUGACGCUGAGGCAUGAGAGCAUGGGGAGCAAACAGGAUUAGAUACCCCAGUA
Molecule: ribosomal RNA, 467 nt
Filed under: uncultured bacterium
Lineage: Bacteria
Description: bacterial SSU rRNA
Rfam family: Bacterial small subunit ribosomal RNA
Source: RNAcentral